RNAcentral lists this ribosomal RNA (248 nucleotides) under uncultured bacterium. RNAcentral's name for it is "partial small subunit ribosomal RNA". It matches the Rfam family "Bacterial small subunit ribosomal RNA", at positions 26 to 278 of the family's 1533-position model. The record is from RNAcentral.
AGGACGAACGCUGGCGGCGUGCUUAACACAUGCAAGUCGAGCGGAAAGGCCCUUCGGGGUACUCGAGCGGCGAACGGGUGAGUAACACGUGAGCAACCUGCCCUUAGCUUCGGGAUAGCUCCGGGAAACCGGAAUUAAAUACCGAAUAUGACUGCGGCUGACAUCAGCCGCGGUGGAAAGUUUUUCGGCUAGGGAUGGACUCGCGGCCUAUCAGCUAGUUGGUGAGGUAACGGCCCACCAAGGCGACG